CCUACGGGAGGCAGCAGUAGGGAAUUUUGCGCAAUGGGCGAAAGCCUGACGCAGCAACGCCGCGUGAUCGAGACGCCCUUCGGGGUGUAAAGAUCUGUCAGUGGGGACGAAACUUGACGGUACCCACAGAGGACGCCCCGGCUAACUCCGUGCCAGCAGCCGCGGUACUACGGGGGGUGCAAGCGUUGUCCGGAAUCAUUGGGCGUAAAGGGUUCGUAGGCGGCACGUAAAGUCUGGUGUUAAAGGCAGAGGGUCAACUUCUGUACGGCACUGGAUACUUGCGAGCUAGAAUGCGGUAGAGGUAAGUGGAAUUCCUGGUGUAGCGGUGAAAUGCUUAGAUAUCAGGAGGAACAUCGGUGGCGUAGGCGCUUUACUGGGCCGUAAUUGACGCUGAGGAACGAAAGCCAGGGUAGCAAAUGGGAUUAGAUACCCCUGUAGUC
RNAcentral lists this ribosomal RNA (440 nucleotides) under uncultured bacterium. RNAcentral's name for it is "partial 16S ribosomal RNA". It matches the Rfam family "Bacterial small subunit ribosomal RNA", at positions 338 to 795 of the family's 1533-position model. The record is from RNAcentral.